RNAcentral lists this ribosomal RNA (468 nucleotides) under uncultured bacterium. RNAcentral's name for it is "partial 16S ribosomal RNA". It matches the Rfam family "Bacterial small subunit ribosomal RNA", at positions 28 to 507 of the family's 1533-position model. The record is from RNAcentral.
GAUGAACGCUGGCGGCGUGCUUAACACAUGCAAGUCGAACGGUGAAGGCGGAGCUUGCUCUGCUGGAUCAGUGGCGAACGGGUGAGAAACACGUGAGCAAUCUGCCCCUGACUCUGGGAUAAGCGCUGGAAACGGCGUCUAAUACUGGAUACGAGCUGCGAAGGCAUCUUCAGCAGCUGGAAAGAACUUCGGUCAGGGAUGAGCUCGCGGCCUAUCAGCUUGUUGGUGAGGUAACGGCUCACCAAGGCGUCGACGGGUAGCCGGCCUGUGAGGGUGACCGGCCACACUGGGACUGAGACACGGCCCAGAAUCCUACGGGAGGCAGCAGUGGGGAAUAUUGCACAAUGGGCGAAAGCCUGAUGCAGCAACGCCGCGUGAGGGACGACGGCCUUCGGGUUGUAAACCUCUUUUAGCAGGGAAGAAGCGAAAGUGACGGUACCUGCAGAAAAAGCGCCGGCUAACUACGUG